GGCGUGCUUAACACAUGCAAGUCGAGCGGUAAGGCCCUUCGGGGUACACGAGCGGCGAACGGGUGAGUAACACGUGGGUGAUCUGCCCUGCACUUCGGGAUAAGCCUGGGAAACUGGGUCUAAUACCGGAUAUGACCAAGGACUGCAUGGUUUUUGGUGGAAAGGUUUACUGGUGCAGGAUGGGCCCGCGGCCUAUCAGCUUGUUGGUGGGGUAAUGGCCUACCAAGGCGACGACGGGUAGCCGACCUGAGAGGGUGACCGGCCACACUGGGACUGAGACACGGCCCAGACUCCUACGGGAGGCAGCAGUGGGGAAUAUUGCACAAUGGGCGAAAGCCUGAUGCAGCGACGCCGCGUGAGGGAUGACGGCCUUCGGGUUGUAAACCUCUUUCAGCAGGGACGAAGCGAGAGUGACGGUACCUGCAGAAGAAGCACCGGCCAACUACGUGCCAGCAGCCGCGGUAAUACGUAGGGUGCAAGCGUUGUCCGGAAUUACUGGGCGUAAAGAGCUCGUAGGCGGUUUGUCGCGUCGUCUGUGAAAACUCGAGGCUCAACCUCGAGCUUGCAGGCGAUACGGGCAGACUUGAGUACUGCAGGGGAGACUGGAAUUCCUGGUGUAGCGGUGAAAUGCGCAGAUAUCAGGAGGAACA
RNAcentral lists this ribosomal RNA (650 nucleotides) under Rhodococcus opacus. Its description in RNAcentral is "bacterial SSU rRNA". It matches the Rfam family "Bacterial small subunit ribosomal RNA", at positions 41 to 708 of the family's 1533-position model. Lineage: Bacteria; Bacillati; Actinomycetota; Actinomycetes; Mycobacteriales; Nocardiaceae. The record is from RNAcentral.